Molecule: ribosomal RNA, 502 nt
Filed under: uncultured bacterium
Lineage: Bacteria
Description: partial 16S ribosomal RNA
Rfam family: Bacterial small subunit ribosomal RNA
Source: RNAcentral
AUUGAACGCUGGCGGAAUGCUUUACACAUGCAAGUCGAACGGCAGCACGGGUGCUUGCACCUGGUGGCGAGUGGCGAACGGGUGAGUAAUACAUCGGAACGUACCCAGUCGUGGGGGAUAACGAAGCGAAAGUUACGCUAAUACCGCAUACGUCCUGAGGGAGAAAGCGGGGGACCGUAAGGCCUCGCGCGAUUGGAGCGGCCGAUGGCGGAUUAGCUAGUUGGUGGGGUAAAGGCCUACCAAGGCGACGAUCCGUAGCGGGUCUGAGAGGACGGCCCGCCACACUGGAACUGAGACACGGUCCAGGCUCCUACGGGAGGCAGCAGUGGGGAAUUUUGGACAAUGGGCGAAAGCCUGAUCCAGCCAUUCCGCGUGAGUGAAGAAGGCCUUCGGGUUGUAAAGCUCUGUCGGCAGGGAAGAAACGGCUUGGGAUAAUACCCCGGGCUAAUGACGGUACCUGAAGAAGAAGCACCGGCUAACUACGUGCCAGCCGCCGCCGUAA